RNA transcript from Rhineura floridana, 1927 nucleotides. It is a transcript of the gene named smoothelin like 1, with no coding region annotated. The transcript has 9 exons. NCBI's taxonomy places the organism in Eukaryota, Metazoa, Chordata, Lepidosauria, Squamata, Rhineuridae. The record is from RefSeq and is a predicted model, not a curated record.
AAUGAGAAAAAGCACUGCAGGCACAGUGGAGGGGGAAAGACAGGCUGAGAGGAGGCCGGGAAGAGGAAGCGCGAGAAGGAGAGACAGUGAGCGAGACUGAGCGAAAGCCUGGCUUUUUGGUAGGUGCAGCCUGCUUUCCAAAGCCCCUUCCAAAGUCCUCAGUGGGGGCUGAAAAAAGAGCAGUUUGCAUGCAUGUGCCCAGAACUGGAGCUGGAAGGGUCUACCUGUUUCAUACUCCACUGAAACAGCAGAGGAGCGUGGUAUCAUGGAGACUGAAGGCACCAAGGAGCAGAAGGAUAGCCAGAAGAUCAAUGGACUAGAGCGAAAGGAGGAGUCAAGAGAUGCUCUGAUUCAGUCUAAGGGAGAGAGCGAGGCAGGGAAAACAGAGGCUGCUGGGACUGGGGAUGAGCUUCAUGGAGAGAGUAAGGCAGAAAAAGAAGGGGCUGCUGGGAAUGAGACUAAGGGUGAUAAUGCACUCAAAGGAAAGGCUUCGGGGGCUGAGGAGGUACAGGGAUUUGAGGCCAAAGAGAAAGUGGAGGAAGCCAGCGAAACCGACAGGGCAGAGUCCGAGGAUAAAGUGGCCGUGGGUGUAUCUGGAACAGAGCCGAAAGAAGAAGCUGAUGUUUCUGCACCACCAAAAGAACUGCAGGAAGAGAAAGGAGGAAAAGCUGAUGCCUUGGAGAGAAAUACCAGCGUUUCCAGCAAAGAGAGUCGAACUGGCAGCACUUCAGAUGAGCCUUUCUCACCAGAACCAGAGGAGGAAGAAGAAUUCUGGCCAGAAUUCUCUCCAAGCUCACCUGAUGAGAGUCCACAGAGCCCCACAGAGUUCAAAAGCAUGGAGACAGGUGGCACUACUUCAGGCCCAGCUGCUCCGGAAGCUGCCACUGGGGAUACCACCAGCGCUGAAGGAGUCCCAAAGGGGGAUCAAGAGCAACAGCCAGCUCCUGAGGGAGCAGCCGUGGCCCAGGAGAAGAAGAAGAGGCCCACUUUUGACAGGAGGGAGCUAACAAGGCCCCGGAUGCCACCCAGAGCUCAGUCCCGCAAAGCCAUUAUGGAGAAGUUUGGAGGGGCUGCAACUGGUCCAGCUCCCAACAUCAAGAGGACGGGAGGUGCAAACACAGUGAAGACCAUGUUACUGGAAUGGUGUCGGGCCAAGACCCGUGGCUAUGAGCAUGUGGACAUCCAGAACUUCUCCUCCAGCUGGAGCAGUGGCAUGGCCUUUUGCGCUCUCACCCACAAGUUCUUUCCAGAUGCCUUUGACUAUGCUGCACUUGAGCCAGCAAAUCGCAGAGAGAACUUUAUUCUGGCCUUCUCCACUGCUGAGAAACUUGCUGAUUGUGCCCAACUUCUGGAUGUGGAUGACAUGGUGCGCAUGAGUGUUCCUGAUAACAAAUGCAUCUACACCUAUAUCCAAGAACUUUAUCGCAGCUUGGUGGAGAAAGGGCUGGUGAAGACCAAGAAGAAAUAAGAACAGAAGGCAGGCUUAUGCUUGAGGCUUACUGGAAACCAGAGGGAAGUCUGCUACCCCAGGAGAAGGCAACAUGGAAUGUACUCUGGGCAGGGGGUCUCUAUUCUGCCGUUUCCUGCACUGGAUUAAACCAAAGUGGCUUGGCUUUAUCACUUAAGUCUGCUGUACACCGGCUAUCUGCCAGUGUGCUUUUGAGAUGUGCAGGAAAGGGAUUAUUAUCUCUGUCCUGUAGGUGCUACUAGUCACCUUCACAGAUCUGGCCUCCAAGGAACGGAUAGCCUCUGUCCUAAACAAGCACGACUUGGAACAAGCAAGUCUCUCCAGAAGUCUACCAUCACCCAUUUCACAUCCUAUUCCCUUGGCUGCAAAUGCUGGCAAGCCCUCCUCCAACCCAUGCUGCAAUCAGGCUUCUCCUUGCAGAGCACCAGAACUAUUAAAGCACGACUGUUGCAAGUCCAA